This is a long non-coding RNA of Triticum dicoccoides, 798 nucleotides long. RefSeq lists it as uncharacterized. The record is from RefSeq and is a predicted model, not a curated record. The transcript has 5 exons. NCBI's taxonomy places the organism in Eukaryota, Viridiplantae, Streptophyta, Magnoliopsida, Poales, Poaceae.
GAUGCGGGUGUUGCAAGCCGACGCUUCAUCUGAUCGAAACUGCUCUGCUCAUAUUUGAAGGCCGCAGUCAUUAUACGGUUACUCUGCACAAAUUCAUGGCAGGGGAUGUCCUAUCCUUUCCGCUGCCUCACGGUACAAUGUGGGGCUCGCCAAUCGAUGCGGAGAAGAUCUCACCGGCCGAUGCAGGGAAGUUCAUCCGCCGUUUUUCAAGCGAGGAGUAAAGUGCUCGCUUGUUUUGUAUAUAUCAAUUAAUGGCAGUCGAGGGAGCGAUGGUGAUGGAUGGUGGAGGUGCGGUACAAUUUUGCUCUGGUUAUGGUAUAUUGUUUGGGGACUAUUCAAGGCUGGUUCUGGAAUUUUAUUGGAAGAGAUAUUGAUGGGUUGACUAUUUGCAAUGGCAAUCAGGUCUUUUACUAUUAGGCCAACAACAAGCGCAGGCUGCACGCCGCGAGCACUGAGCGCAGUCGAUGAGCUCGCCGCCUGUUGAAACUCCGUUGCUGAACAUGUAUGGUGACCUUAAUAUAUAUCUCACAAACUACAUCAUGAUUGGUCUCUGCCCUUGGAAGCCCUUGGGAAGUCAUCAAACGAGGCAUCUCAUCUAUCCUUAGCAUCAGCAUAGCAAGGACGAUGAAGUGAGUUUGAGCCAAGACCUCUAAUGAUGUUUCUACUUCUCUUUCUUCAAGUGCCUUCAUCUGGUGGGCAUAAGUAGUCUUAGUAUUGUACCUGGUAUUGAUAUCCAGUUUCAAUGCUUUAGCAUUUUUGUUUCAAACAUUUUGAAAUGACUUAUAAAACACAGAACAC